UGAGCAAUCUGCCCUUCUCUUCGGAAUAAGCGUUGGAAACGACGUCUAAUGCCGAAUACGACCUCCUUUCGCAUGAUCGGAGGUGGAAAGCUCCGGCGGAGAAGGAUGAGCUCGCGGCCUAUCAGCUAGUUGGUGUGGGUAAUGGCCCACCAAGGCGACGACGGGUAGCCGGCCUGAGAGGGUGACCGGCCACACUGGGACUGAGACACGGCCCAGACCUCCGUACGGGAGGNAG
RNAcentral lists this ribosomal RNA (235 nucleotides) under uncultured bacterium. RNAcentral describes it as "partial 16S ribosomal RNA". It matches the Rfam family "Bacterial small subunit ribosomal RNA", at positions 118 to 351 of the family's 1533-position model. The record is from RNAcentral.